Long non-coding RNA from Peromyscus eremicus (cactus mouse), 1233 nucleotides. RefSeq lists it as uncharacterized. The record is from RefSeq and is a predicted model, not a curated record. The transcript has 4 exons. Lineage: Eukaryota; Metazoa; Chordata; Mammalia; Rodentia; Cricetidae.
UGGCUGUUCAGUGCUUUUUCACUGAUGAAAAUGGCCUGUGUGUGCAAUAGGAAAAACUGGAGGCGAUGGAUCCGACCCCUGGUCAUACUCAUUUAUAUUGUAAGCAUGCUGAUCUUUGUUACCUUUGGUGUUUCGAAGUUUCACCAACAGGAGAAGGAAGAGGAGGAGGAGGGUUCUUUUGUCAGGCUGUCCUGGAGCUCACAGAGACCUUCUGCCUCCCAAGUUACUGGGACUAAAGGUGUGUGCUACCACACUCUGUAACACCCUCUUCUGACCUCAGCAGGUACCCACACUCACACAUGCGCAUAUUCACACAGACACAUACAUAGAAUUUACUAAAAAGUAAAUCUUUUUUUAAUUGCUACUAAUUAUUUGGGAAAUACAAAGCAGUAUUAGUAAUCUAAUGAAAAUUUAAGACAAAAAUAUUGAUCUUUAUAGUUUUAAUAUCAGAAUCUAAACCAAUGUGUUCUUUUGUUUUUCAAGGUUGGAGUACACACUAAAGCGUGGUUUAUUGCUGGUAUCUUCAUGCUGGUGACGGUACAAGUGUCCUUCUGGGGGAUUCUGCAACACUUGGUGCAUUUCACACAACCCAAACUUCAAAAACCUAUUAUGAGGAUUCUUUGGAUGGUUCCAGUAUACAGUUUAGGUAGUUGGUUGGCCUUAAAAUUCCCCAAAGUUGGAAUAUAUGCCGAUACCUGUAGAGACUGCUAUGAAGCUUACACCAUUUAUAACUUUAUGAUCUUCCUUACCAAUAAUUUAACAAUUCGGAUCCCGAAUAUAAUGUUAUACCUGGAAGCAAAGGAUCAGCAACAGCAUCUCUUUCCACUCUGCUGGUGUCCACCAUUGGCGAUGGGAGAGUAAGUGUGUUUGGUUUUGAUGGGCCUCUGUGUGGGUCUUAAAUAUCAGUCAGCUCUCUGCAAGGGGUGGGGACAGUAGGCAGAGCCCUUACACUAUGUAGCACGUAAUACAGUUUGAAAGAUAAUAAAAUACAUUUUUACAAUGUACAUGUUGAGAGGUUUUUUUUGUUUUUUGUUUUUUUGUUUUUAUUUUUACAUUGCUUACCCCAAUAGAAAAGUUCAUCAAUGUAAUGAGGGAGAAAACCUUAGAAAAUGUUUAAUCAGCAUCAUUUUUACAGUUGGGAAUUGGAGCCUAAAUGAUCAUGCACGUGAUCACGCAGCUAAUUGUCUUGUACUUGUCUCCCUGCUGAGACAAAGUCACUGACAAAAGCAACUU